RNAcentral lists this transfer RNA (88 nucleotides) under Actinomycetota bacterium. Its description in RNAcentral is "tRNA-Lys". Lineage: Bacteria; Bacillati; Actinomycetota. The record is from RNAcentral.
GCGCUGGUACGAGGGGAGACUCCCGGCGACGCGAGCGAGCCGACUCUUAAUCCGCAGGUUCUGGGUUCGAAUCCCAGGGGGCGCACCA